CACGUAGGGUGCGGGCGUUGUCCGGAAUUAUUGGGCGUAAAGAGCUCGUAGGCGGUGUGUCGCGUCGGCCGUGAAAAACCUGCAGCUUAACUGUGGGCUUGCGGUCGAUACGGGCAUCACUGGAGUUCGGCAGGGGAGACUGGAAUUCCUGGUGUAGCGGUGAAAUGCGCAGAUAAUCAGGAGGAACACCGGUGGCGAAGGCGCCUAUCUGGCCCGAUACUGACGCUGAGGCCGCGAAAGCUAGGGGAGCAAACGGG
This 257-nucleotide ribosomal RNA is filed under the name uncultured bacterium. RNAcentral's name for it is "partial 16S ribosomal RNA". It matches the Rfam family "Bacterial small subunit ribosomal RNA", at positions 524 to 776 of the family's 1533-position model. The record is from RNAcentral.